Molecule: ribosomal RNA, 403 nt
Filed under: uncultured bacterium
Lineage: Bacteria
Description: bacterial SSU rRNA
Rfam family: Bacterial small subunit ribosomal RNA
Source: RNAcentral
CAGGGAAUAUUGCCCAAUGGACGGAAGUCUGAGGCAGCGACGCCGCGUGAGUGAAGAAGGCCUUCGGGUCGUAAAGCUCUUUUGUAGGGGAAGAGGAAGGACGGUACCCUGAGAAAAAGCGUCGGCUAACUACGUGCCAGCAGCCGCGGUAAGACGUAGGACGCGAGCGUUAUCCGGAAUUACUGGGCGUAAAGGGCCAGUAGGCGGCUUGAUAAGUUGUGCGUGAAAGCCUCGUGCUCAACGCGAGGAAGCCGGACAAUACUGUGAAGCUAGAGGGCAUCAGAGGGGAGUGGAAUUCCCGGAGUAGCGGUAAAAUGCGCAGAUAUCGGGAGGAACACCGAUGGCGAAGGCAGCUCCCUGGGGUGUACCUGACGCUGAGGGGCGAAAGCUAGGGGAGCGAACA